This 2464-nucleotide long non-coding RNA is filed under the name Homo sapiens (human). RNAcentral describes it as "non-protein coding lnc-FBXL4-1:2". Lineage: Eukaryota; Metazoa; Chordata; Mammalia; Primates; Hominidae. The record is from RNAcentral.
CUCCUCCCCGGCUCCGCCCCGCCUCCCCGGGCCCGCCGCUCCUCGCGGCCUCCGCGUCUUCCUUCCGGGUCGCGCUAGGCCGGGCUUGCGGCGGUUGUGCCGCAUCUAGAGAGUCGGGGAGCCGCCCCCGCACCCAGGCCUUCUCGCGCUGCCUGGUCGCUGGUGAAGCCCGCGGCGCGCGCCUCUCCCGGACCCUGCAGGGUAAAAGAAUGUCACAUGUCAGCAUUUGUACCUGAAGUCAGCAUGCAAAGUUCAGGGUACCUGGAUGAAUGCCAACUUUUGCAUUUCCCAUGUGUAUCCUGUGACCAUUCUAUCUGGGAACAUCCUUCAAAGAGUUCAUGCAUCUUACUGAGGACACCUGACCUUUUGAAGCUUCAUAAUUCACAUCUAGAUGUCACCGGUCUUUCCCAUGUUAACAGUUCUGACCAUGUUUUAUUAUAUAUGCCUUCGGCGCCGAGCCAGGACAGCUACAAGAGGAGAAAUGAUGAACACCCAUAGAGCUAUAGAAUCAAACAGCCAGACUUCCCCUCUCAAUGCAGAGGUAGUCCAGUAUGCCAAAGAAGUAGUGGAUUUCAGUUCCCAUUAUGGAAGUGAGAAUAGUAUGUCCUAUACUAUGUGGAAUUUGGCUGGUGUACCAAAUGUAUUCCCAAGUUCUGGUGACUUUACUCAGACAGCUGUGUUUCGAACUUAUGGGACAUGGUGGGAUCAGUGUCCUAGUGCUUCCUUGCCAUUCAAGAGGACGCCACCUAAUUUUCAGAGCCAGGACUAUGUGGAACUUACUUUUGAACAACAGGUGUAUCCUACAGCUGUACAUGUUCUAGAAACCUAUCAUCCCGGAGCAGUCAUUAGAAUUCUCGCUUGUUCUGCAAAUCCUUAUUCCCCAAAUCCACCAGCUGAAGUAAGCUUAUUCAGCUGAUUCUGAAUCAUCUUACACUACCAGACCUGUGUAGAUUAGCACAGACUUGCAAACUACUGAGCCAGCAUUGCUGUGAUCCUCUGCAAUACAUCCACCUCAAUCUGCAACCAUACUGGGCAAAACUAGAUGACACUUCUCUGGAAUUUCUACAGUCUCGCUGCACUCUUGUCCAGUGGCUUAAUUUAUCUUGGACUGGCAAUAGAGGCUUCAUCUCUGUUGCAGGAUUUAGCAGGUUUCUGAAGGUUUGUGGAUCCGAAUUAGUACGCCUUGAAUUGUCUUGCAGCCACUUUCUUAAUGAAACUUGCUUAGAAGUUAUUUCUGAGAUGUGUCCAAAUCUACAGGCCUUAAAUCUCUCCUCCUGUGAUAAGCUACCACCUCAAGCUUUCAACCACAUUGCCAAGUUAUGCAGCCUUAAACGACUUGUUCUCUAUCGAACAAAAGUAGAGCAAACAGCACUGCUCAGCAUUUUGAACUUCUGUUCAGAGCUUCAGCACCUCAGUUUAGGCAGUUGUGUCAUGAUUGAAGACUAUGAUGUGAUAGCUAGCAUGAUAGGAGCCAAGUGUAAAAAACUCCGGACCCUGGAUCUGUGGAGAUGUAAGAAUAUUACUGAGAAUGGAAUAGCAGAACUGGCUUCUGGGUGUCCACUACUGGAGGAGCUUGACCUUGGCUGGUGCCCAACUCUGCAGAGCAGCACCGGGUGCUUCACCAGACUGGCACACCAGCUCCCAAACUUGCAAAAACUCUUUCUUACAGCUAAUAGAUCUGUGUGUGACACAGACAUUGAUGAAUUGGCAUGUAAUUGUACCAGGUUACAGCAGCUGGACAUAUUAGGAACAAGAAUGGUAAGUCCGGCAUCCUUAAGAAAACUCCUGGAAUCUUGUAAAGAUCUUUCUUUACUUGAUGUGUCCUUCUGUUCGCAGAUUGAUAACAGAGCUGUGCUAGAACUGAAUGCAAGCUUUCCAAAAGUGUUCAUAAAAAAGAGCUUUACUCAGUGACUUAAUAUAUGUUCUGUAUUAAAAUUAAUGUGCUUUGUUGGGGUUUAAUUUUGGGAUUGGUUUUGGGUUUUGUUUUUAGUUGUUUUAAUGGUAAGAAUUAAGACAUUUGUAGAUUUUAAAGAAAAAUAUGAAAUUGUCCAUUAAAUCAAGUAAAAAUGUGCACAAAUGUUUUCAUAAAAUACUGCAAGCACUUCUCUUCAAGAAUAUGAGUGGAUAUUAUUUUUACCUUAUGUUAAUCAGUGAUAUGCUUUAGUCAAUAAUAUGAUUGAUAAAAGAAUAACAUGGAAUCAUGCUAACUUAUUUUCAAAGGAACACUGAGCAAUAAAGUAUCGUGGCAUUUAUGCAAAAAAAAAAGUUAAUUUUUUACACCUUCAUGUAAGGAUGUCUUAUUAAGCCUGUGACCUGGCAAGUGUUUUGUUUGGUAUGUACAAAAUGGUCAGAGCUAGUUGGAGAAUGAGACAUGCUUUUCCAGCUGUUUGGUUAUUUCUCUGGAUUAACUGUUCAACUGGAAAAUUUUUAGUUUUUCUAGCCAGGUGUGGUGGCACACACUUGU